RNAcentral lists this ribosomal RNA (2088 nucleotides) under Pseudanapis cf. parocula MR082. RNAcentral describes it as "eukaryotic LSU rRNA". It matches the Rfam family "Eukaryotic large subunit ribosomal RNA", at positions 112 to 1864 of the family's 3401-position model. Lineage: Eukaryota; Metazoa; Arthropoda; Arachnida; Araneae; Anapidae. The record is from RNAcentral.
CACCUAAUCCUGCGCUCUUUGGGCGUCGGGAAAUGUGGUGUUAGGGAGUGAGCGUGCCGGAGGUUCGACUCUGCAGCAAGUCCCCCUGACCGGGGCUCUUUUCCCAGAGUGGGUGCGAGGCCCAUAGCUGCUAGGUCUUCUUCCGGAUGCAAUCUCCUGGGAGUCGGGUUGCUUGGGAGUGCAAUCCUAAUCUGGUGGUAAACUCCACCUAAGGCUAAAUAUCGCCGUGAGACCGAUAGCGAACAAGUACCGUGAGGGAAAGUUGCAAAGAACUUUGAAGAGAGAGUUAAAGAGUACGUGAAACUGCUCAAAGGUAAAUGGAUGGGCCCUCGAAGUCCUGUGGUGGAAGGAUUCAGUCGAAACGGAGGGGAGCUCACCCUGACACUCUAGUUAAUCGGUCCUGCGUGUGGGGCCGUCUGGGUGACGACUUUUCUCCGUGUAGACGCAUUUCCGGUUCCACCCUGAGGACGCCGCAACCGGUUGGGGGACGGAGUGAAAGGCCGGCAAGGAGUUCGCCAGUGGUGCCUUUACCGGUUACCUUUGGAUGUUGACUCUGCUGCCAAUGUCUCGUCCCUCGACCGUGGUAUCGCGAGGCCCUCACUGGGCCUUUUCGCCUCCUCUCCCUGAGAUGUCGGGUGUCGGCGGCAGGUGUCCUGCCGCGUGCUGCCGCACGGCCUCAUGCCGUGGGCAAGCAUGCGGAAUGGUUCCGUUGGCCGUCUGUGUCAGACCCGUGGGUGAGCUGGUGGUUGGCGGCGAGUAGAUCGGUCACCCAUCCAACCCGUCUUGAAACACGGACCAAGGAGUCUAACAUGUGUGCGAGUCAAUGGGUCUCGAUGAAGCCCAGAGGCGCAACGAAAGCGAAGGCCGGGCCUCGAGUUCGGCUGUGCCGGGAUCGCGUUUCCUCCGUGGGACGCGCGCACCGGCGACCUGUUCCGUCCAGUUUACUGGUGGAGCGGAGUCUGAGCAUACACGUUGGGACCCGAUAGAUGGUGAACUAUGCCUGGGCAGGACGAAGCCAGAGGAAACUCUGGUGGAGGUCCGCAGCGGUUCUGACGUGCAAAUCGAUCGUCAGAUCCGGGUAUAGGGGCGACAGACUCAUCGAACCGUCUAGUAGCUGGUUCCCUCCGAAGUUUCCCUCAGGAUAGCUGGCGCUCGUUGGAAUCAGUCUCAUCCGGUAAAGCGAAUGAUUAGAGGCCUUGGGGCCGAAACGACCUCAACCUAUUCUCAAACUUUAAAUGGGUGAUAUGUCCGUCCUGCAUGUUUGAGGACCGGACGCUUGAUGUGAGUGCCCAGUGGGCCACUUUUGGUAAGCAGAACUGGCGCUGUGGGAUGAACCAAACGUCGGGUUAAGGUGUCCGAUGCGAGACGCUCAUGAGACACUAAAAAAGGUGUUGGUUGCUCCAGACAGUCAGGCAGUGGCUCUGGAAGUCGGCAUCCUGCUCAGGAGUGUGUAACAACUCACUGACCGAAGCAACUAGCCCUGAAAAUGGAUGACGCUCCAGCGUCGCGACCUAUACCCGACCGUCGCGACAGAUCUCCCCUGAUGGAGGUUUAUGUAGCGACGAGUAGGAGGUGCAUCGGGAUGGCGUCGAAGGUGCCGGGCGCAAGCCCGUCUCGAGCCGUCCCGAGAGCAGAUCUUGGUGGUAGUAGCGAAUACUCAAGUGAGAACCUUGAGGACUGAAGUUGGAGAAGGGUUCCAUGUGAACAGCAGUUGAACAUGGGUCAGUCGGUCCUAAGGAAUCGGAAAAUUCCGUUCUGAAGCGGGACGUUGAUGCAAUGUCUGUGUCCCGCUGCUGACCGAAAGGGAAUGGGGUCAAUAUUCCCCGACCCGGACGCGGAGAGAGAACCUUCGGGUUCACGUGCGGUGACGCAAACGAACUCAGAGACGUCGACGGAGGACCCGGGGAAGAGUUGUCUUUUCUUUGUAAGAGGUCGUGUCCCUGGAAUCGGCUUGUCCGGAGAUAGGGACGUUGUCCUCGUAAGAGCACCGCGGCUCUUGCGGUGUCCGGAGCACCUCCGUCGUCCCUUGCAAAUCUGAGGGAGAUAGUGUGAUUCUCGUGCCGGCCCGUACCCAUAUCCGCAGCAGGU